UGAAAAGCCCGCUCGCCGGAAGACCAAGGGUUCCUGUCCAACGUUAAUCGGGGCAGGGUGAGUCGACCCCUAAGGCGAGGCCGAAAGGCGUAGUCGAUGGGAAACAGGUUAAUAUUCCUGUACUUGGUGUUACUGCGAAGGGGGGACGGAGAAGGCUAUGUUGGCCGGGCGACGGUUGUCCCGGUUUAAGCGUGUAGGCUGGUUUUCCAGGCAAAUCCGGAAAAUCAAGGCUGAGGCGUGAUGACGAGGCACUACGGUGCUGAAGCAACAAAUGCCCUGCUUCCAGGAAAAGCCUCUAAGCAUCAGGUAACAUCAAAUCGUACCCCAAACCGACACAGGUGGUCAGGUAGAGAAUACCAAGGCGCUUGAGAGAACUCGGGUGAAGGAACUAGGCAAAAUGGUGCCGUAACUUCGGGAGAAGGCACGCUGAUAUGUAGGUGAAGUCCCUUGCGGAUGGAGCUGAAAUCAGUCGAAGAUACCAGCUGGCUGCAACUGUUUAUUAAAAACACAGCACUGUGCAAACACGAAAGUGGACGUAUACGGUGUGACGCCUGCCCGGUGCCGGAAGGUUAAUUGAUGGGGUUAGCGGUAACGCGAAGCUCUUGAUCGAAGCCCCGGUAAACGGCGGCCGUAACUAUAACGGUCCUAAGGUAGCGAAAUUCCUUGUCGGGUAAGUUCCGACCUGCACGAAUGGCGUAAUGAUGGCCAGGCUGUCUCCACCCGAGACUCAGUGAAAUUGAACUCGCUGUGAAGAUGCAGUGUACCCGCGGCAAGACGGAAAGACCCCGUGAACCUUUACUAUAGCUUGACACUGAACAUUGAGCCUUGAUGUGUAGGAUAGGUGGGAGGCUUUGAAGUGUGGACGCCAGUCUGCAUGGAGCCGACCUUGAAAUACCACCCUUUAAUGUUUGAUGUUCUAACGUUGGCCCCUGAUCGGGGUUGCGGACAGUGUCUGGUGGGUAGUUUGACUGGGGCGGUCUCCUCCUAAAGAGUAACGGAGGAGCACGAAGGUUGGCUAAUCCUGGUCGGACAUCAGGAGGUUAGUGCAAUGGCAUAAGCCAGCUUGACUGCGAGCGUGACGGCGCGAGCAGGUGCGAAAGCAGGUCAUAGUGAUCCGGUGGUUCUGAAUGGAAGGGCCAUCGCUCAACGGAUAAAAGGUACUCCGGGGAUAACAGGCUGAUACCGCCCAAGAGUUCAUAUCGACGGCGGUGUUUGGCACCUCGAUGUCGGCUCAUCACAUCCUGGGGCUGAAGUAGGUCCCAAGGGUAUGGCUGUUCGCCAUUUAAAGUGGUACGCGAGCUGGGUUUAGAACGUCGUGAGACAGUUCGGUCCCUAUCUGCCGUGGGCGCUGGAGAACUGAGGGGGGCUGCUCCUAGUACGAGAGGACCGGAGUGGACGCAUCACUGGUGUUCGGGUUGUCAUGCCAAUGGCACUGCCCGGUAGCUAAAUGCGGAAGAGAUAAGUGCUGAAAGCAUCUAAGCACGAAACUUGCCCCGAGAUGAGUUCUCCCUGACUCCUUGAGAGUCCUGAAGGAACGUUGAAGACGACGACGUUGAUAGGCCGGGUGUGUAAGCGCAGCGAUGCGUUGAGCUAACCGGUACUAAUGAACCGUGAGGCUUAACCUUACAACGCCGAAG
Molecule: ribosomal RNA, 1637 nt
Filed under: Escherichia coli
Lineage: Bacteria; Pseudomonadati; Pseudomonadota; Gammaproteobacteria; Enterobacterales; Enterobacteriaceae
Description: partial 23S ribosomal RNA
Rfam family: Bacterial large subunit ribosomal RNA
Source: RNAcentral